This 966-nucleotide long non-coding RNA is filed under the name Mustela putorius furo (domestic ferret). Its description in RNAcentral is "lncRNA (ENSMPUG00000028545.1)". Lineage: Eukaryota; Metazoa; Chordata; Mammalia; Carnivora; Mustelidae. The record is from RNAcentral.
AUGGCAGAAUGUAGUAUAGUCAUGAUUACAUGUCUUUUUCUAUACUCUGUUUUUCAUAAAGUUUUUAAUUGUCCCUCUCUCUUUUUUUUUUUCAUUAUCUCCCAUGAUUUCUUCCAAAAUUCUCAUACUACCUGGUCAAUGAAGACUUCUUUUUCUAGGAGAUUUCCAGUCCCUGCUACCCCUCCAGCCUCUAAACCAACUGCACUCCAGGCCUGUGGAGCAGUUAUCGCUGAGACUGCCUGCACUGCAAUACUAGGGAGUAAAGAUUCCAUAUACCUGUUCGAAACACCUCACUGUGGAAGAAGUCUUGACCAACUAGGUGAGAACUACUCCACCCUCAGAAAAGAAAAAUAAUAUUGGUUCUGCCUCCUGGUGCUGGCAAGGAACACAUGAGAUAAUGAAUAUGCAAGUGCACACUGAAGAUUUCCAGUCUAUUUCUAAACAGACUGCUGAAGCAUCAAAGAGCCAAGCAUAUAAUUGAAGCAAUUAAGCUUUAGGAAAACAACUUAAAAAUAAAAUUUGACUAAAAAAAUUAAAUUUGAGUAAUUAUUCAACCUUGUUGGACACUCUGCCCAAUCAUCUAUCCUAUUUUCUACCCAGUAUAACUGCUUUCUCUUUAUCUUUUUCUUUUAUUAAGAUUUUAUUUGGGGGGUACCUGGUGGCUCAGUGGGUUAAGCCUCUGCCUUCAGUCCUGGUCAUGAUCUCCGGGUCCUGGGAUGCAGCCCGGCAUCAGGCUCUCUGCUCAGCAGGGAACCUGCUUCUCUCUCUCUCUCUGACAGCCUACUUGCAAUUUCUCUCUCAAAUAGAUAAAUAAAAUCUUUAAAAAAAAAUUUAUUUUUAAGUAAUCUACACCCAAUGAGCCGAAGGCAAACACUUAACUAAGCUUCUAACUAACCAAGCGUCUAACUAAUUAAGUGUCUAACUGACUAAGCCACCCCAGGCAUCUCUUAGCAGAGACAAUUUCAU